Molecule: unclassified non-coding RNA, 391 nt
Filed under: fungal sp.
Lineage: Eukaryota; Fungi
Description: partial internal transcribed spacer region
Rfam family: Eukaryotic small subunit ribosomal RNA (bases 1-46)
Source: RNAcentral
AAGUCGUAACAAGGUUUCCGUAGGUGAACCUGCGGAAGGAUCAUUAACACGUAUCCAAACGUAAAAAACCCCCCCCGUGAACAUUCAAUCCUGCUCUUGUAACCCGCGUAGUUCGCAAUCUCUGGUAAAUCAUAGCCCGGAAAGUAGUUUUGAUUCAGAGAAUCGAGCGGUAGUUUCAUAGGCAUUGUUUCCCCAAGCAGUUAGUGUCUGAAAGUGUCACUGAUUGUGCAAGGAUAGCGCUUCAACGAUUCCUGUAGACCGUACACUCGGGCAGGAGCUAUGCCAAAGGGUCCCCAUGCCCCCUUAUAACCCCACAGUUUAAUGUGAAGCUCAAUGUAAUACAUUGGGUAAAAAAACCGAACAACUGUUAACAAUGGAUAUCUUGGUUCUC